CGUUGUCUUCGGACAACCACCAAUGCUCAAUGGGUCUGUGAUGAGCGCCUUCGGGUGACCUAGCUGUCAGUCGACAGCCACCAAUGAUCCAGUCACUUGUGAGGAUCGCCUUCGGGUAGUGGCAAAAAAACGCUUCCGUAGCUUGAAAGGAAGCACACCGUUUACGGUGUAGUACAUC
RNAcentral lists this small RNA (178 nucleotides) under Lasius niger. RNAcentral describes it as "STAXI RNA". It matches the Rfam family "STAXI RNA". Lineage: Eukaryota; Metazoa; Arthropoda; Insecta; Hymenoptera; Formicidae. The record is from Rfam by way of RNAcentral.